Molecule: ribosomal RNA, 1627 nt
Filed under: Bragasellus peltatus
Lineage: Eukaryota; Metazoa; Arthropoda; Malacostraca; Isopoda; Asellidae
Description: bacterial LSU rRNA
Rfam family: Bacterial large subunit ribosomal RNA
Source: RNAcentral
GACGUAGAAGCGGUUUUGGCAAGAAACCGUGGAGACCGUGGAAGUGAGGAUGCAGACAUAAGUAACGUUAAGGGCAGUGAAAUCCUGCCCCGCCGUAAGUCCAAGGUUUCCUGGGCAACGAUCGUCGUCCCAGGGUUAGUCGGGUCCUAAGGUCAAGCCUAAAGGCGUAAUCGAUGGAAAGCGAGGUUAAUAUUCCCGCACGUGUUUUGGUUAAAGUCAUAUGUGCGUCAACUAGUUCAAGCAUGCCCGUUGAAUGCGGCAGAAGGGGUUGGAGCAAUCCAAUCCUGGCCUUGAGUUAGUAGCGCCGAGAAAAGUAUGGCGUAUCGUCCAAAGCAUCCCGUACCGCAAACCGACACAGGUGGGCAGGAUGAAAAUUCUAAGGCGCUUGAGAGAACUCUGGAGAAGGAACUCGGCAAAUUGACACCGUAACUUCGGAAGAAGGUGUGCCUUUAGUAUGUGUAGGGACUUGCUCCCGAAGCAGAAUGAGGCCGCAGAGAAUCGGUGGCUGCGACUGUUUAAUAAAAACACAGCACUCUGCAAAGACGAAAGUCGACGUAUAGGGUGUGACGCCUGCCCGGUGCUGGAAGAUUAAAUGAUGGGGUGCAAGCUCUUGACUGAAGUCCCAGUAAACGGCGGCCGUAACAAUAACGGUCCUAAGGUAGCGAAAUUCCUUGUCAGGUAAGUUCUGACCCGCACGAAUGGUAUAAUGAUCUGGGCGCUGUCUCGGCUUCAAACUCGGUGAAAUCUUAGUCCCUGUGAAAAUGCAGGGUAGACGCAGUAAGACAAUAAGACCCCGUGAAGCUUUACUAUAACUUCAUAUUGGUUUUUGGUUUAACAUAUGUAGGAUAGGUGGGAGUCUAUGAAGUGAUGACGCUAGUUGUCAUGGAGACAUCCUUGAAAUACCACCUUUGUUAAAUUGAGGACCUAACUUGCACCCCUUAUCUGGGUGGAGGACAGUGUGUGGUGGGUAGUUUGACUGGGGCGGUCGCCUCCCAAAAGGUAACGGAGGCGCACAAAGUUACACUCAACAUGGUCGGAAAUCAUGUGUGGAGCGCAAAAGUAUAAGUGUGAUUGACUGUGAGACUUACAAGUCGAGCAGGGUCGAAAGACGGUUUUAGUGAUCCGCUGGUUCCUUGUGGAAGGGCCAGCGCUCAACGGAUAAAAGUUACUCCGGGGAUAACAGGCUUAUCUCCCCCAAGAGUUCACAUCGACGGGGAGGUUUGGCACCUCGAUGUCGGCUCGUCUCAUCCUGGAGCUGUAGUUGGUUCCAAGGGUUGGGCUGUUCGCCCAUUAAAGAGGCACGCGAGCUGGGUUCAGAACGUCGUGAGACAGUUUGGUCCAUAUCUACUGUGUCCGUAGGAUAUUUGAGAAAAGCUUCCCCUAGUACGAGAGGACCGGGGUGGACGUACCACUGGUGUUCCGGUUGUCCUGCCAAGGGCAUGGCCGGGUAGCUAUGUACGGAAUCGAUAAAUACUGAAAGCAUCUAAGUAUGAAGCGAAUUUCAAGAUAAGAUAUCCCACUCUUUAUGAGGUAAAUUCCCUUAUAGACUAUGAGGUUGAUAGGCUGGGUGUGUAAGUGUAGUAAUGCAUUGAGCUAACCAGUACUAAUUGAAUGGGAAAUCAUGUGU